RNAcentral lists this ribosomal RNA (422 nucleotides) under uncultured Rikenellaceae bacterium. RNAcentral describes it as "partial 16S ribosomal RNA". It matches the Rfam family "Bacterial small subunit ribosomal RNA", at positions 355 to 774 of the family's 1533-position model. The record is from RNAcentral. Lineage: Bacteria; Pseudomonadati; Bacteroidota; Bacteroidia; Bacteroidales; Rikenellaceae.
UGAGGAAUAUUGGUCAAUGGACGCAAGUCUGAACCAGCCAUGCCGCGUGCAGGAAGAAUGCUCUAUGAGUUGUAAACUGCUUUUGUACGAGGGUAACCCUAUCUACGAGUAGAUAGCUGAAAGUAUCGUAUGAAUAAGGGUCGGCUAACUCCGUGCCAGCAGCCGCGGUAAUACGGAGGACCCGAGCGUUAUCCGGAUUUAUUGGGUUUAAAGGGUGCGUAGGCUGUUUUAUAAGUUAGAGGUGAAAUGUCAAUGCUUAACAUUGAAACUGCCUCUAAUACUGUAGAACUAGAGUGUGGUUGCGGAUGGCGGAAUGUGUAGUGUAGCGGUGAAAUGCUUAGAUAUUACACAGAACACCGAUUGCGAAGGCAGCUGUCCAAGCCACAACUGACGCUGAGGCACGAAAGCGUGGGUAGCGAACA